This is a long non-coding RNA of Pteropus alecto (black flying fox), 3592 nucleotides long. RefSeq lists it as uncharacterized. The transcript is spliced from 5 exons. Lineage: Eukaryota; Metazoa; Chordata; Mammalia; Chiroptera; Pteropodidae. The record is from RefSeq and is a predicted model, not a curated record.
CCUCGCCCCGCGCUCCCAGCUCUCUCGCUCCCGCGGCGCCCGCUGCAGCUUCUCCUCCUCCUUCGCCUCCUCCUCUUCCUUCGGCUCCUUCUCUUCUUCCUCCUCCUCUUCCUCCUCCUUCUCCUCCUCCUCUCCUUCCUCCUCCUCUUUCCCCACCUCCUCCCGCCUCCUCCUCCACCACCACUCCCUCCGGGGCACCCCGGUCCCUGCAGAGUCCCCGGCCGGCGCCGCCUCCGCUGCGGCCCCCCGGAUCCCUAGCCUGCUGAGCCAGAGCCGGUAGGACAAACGGACGGACAGACGCGCAGAUUCCUCGCGCCUAGCGCUCUGCCGCUGCUGCCUGCUCGCGUCCCCGCGUCAGGGGAGCUGGGAUCGCUCCGGAAACACCGAGAGGGCAAAUGCUACAGCAAACUAAAGUGUUUUCCAUUGCUGAGGUUGGGAACAUCAUCUCGGAAAUCUCUGCUGGCCUCAAAACCAUCGCUCACAGAGAUUUAGGAUGCCCUCACGUUUCAGUAUUUCCCAUGAGUCGAUUAAAAUGUGUAGAAGCUGCCACUUUCCUUCUGGCCCAUAGACCCAGAGAGGACUACGCAACGCAAGACGUCAGGUGCUUUGGCGAAUUCAUUAGUUUGUUCACCAAAUAUUUAUUGAGCAACGACUAGGUGCUCUAACGUUGCUCUACGUGCUGGAGACAAAGUGUAUAAACAAAGCACACGGGGCUCCUGUCUUCCUGCGGUUUACUUUCUGGUGGGGAAAAAAAAAAUGUUAACACGAUAAUUUCAGAGAGUUACAAGGGAAAUAAAGGAAAUAAGCCGAGCGGCGUGAUAGAGUGUGACUGGAGGCAGGAAGGGGCAACCGUGUCUGAGAAGCUGGUCGGAGGAGGCCUGAAGGAUGGAGGCUGAGAAGGAGCCAGCCAGACGAAGAGCUCGGGCAGGACGCAGCAAGCAGAGGACACAGCGAGUGCCAGUCAAUACCUGGAGAGCUGAAGAAGCGAGGAUGUGCGAAGAAAGGGAGCACAGGGGUCUGCAGCGUGGCGAAAGCCAAUGUGGAAUUUGAGAUCAAGCAUCUUUUACCUGACGUAGGUGAGAAGACAGACCCAGCGACCACCCCAGCACCCCCUCCCCACCACCAGAAUCAACCUGGAAUGGAAGAGGAGGGCAGCCUUCGAGCAUUCCCCCUCUCCCCAGGCCACCGGCAGCCAGCAUGGAGCCAGAUCUGUGCGGUUCACAUCUCAGCCUUUGCCCUGAGCUCCUCUGCGUGGCAUCCCCCAAAACAACACGGGCUGCAAGAAUGUUUCACACCAACUCAUUUCAUACUUCAUUUAUUUUAUUAAAAAAAGAAGAUAAAACUUCCAGGUUCAGAGUCCACUCUUCACCCCCCACCCUCCACCCGCUUCUGGCAAACAGGAGACAUCUGGGCUGGGAGGUGGGGAACGGUGGAGUUAGGGGCUGGGAGAAGCCGCUGGUGGAAGGGAAAGUCAGGUGUGGCCCCUUCUGAGCUUCCCAGGCCAACAAAUGUCUACAUUUCCUGGGAAGUUGUGAGCCUAGAGGAUUUCCCCAGGAAUCCGGGCUAGGCUUGUAAAGAAAUGAUCCCAACAUCAAGAAAAGAAACCGGCCAGUAAAUUCCUAGUUAGUUCAUUUUCUAAGACUUGUGAAUGUGGUUUGAAUUUUCUCUAAAUUAAGAUAAUCAUAAAAGGUUAAGAUAUUUAAACAGAGCUGCACCUGAUCCCAGGACUUGAUUUGUAUGCUUAAUUAGUUCCCGAACAUAUGGUUCAGAGCUUCUUAUAAAAACAGGGUAAUGACUCGAGGUAUAUUUGGGUAUUAGAUUGAAUGAUGUUAAAGGGACAUUCGGACCCAUCUCAAAGGCCUUAACCUGCCCUUGAUCUGUGCUGGAAGCUUUGGCUGACAUCUGUUUCAAAGAGAUAUCAAAAAACUUUCCAGUGGCCUCAUGAUAAAACAAAAAUCCAUACGGAGAUAGAUAUCAGGCAUUAAAAUACUUAGGAUUCAUCUUUGCCUGAGGAAUGUGUGGCCCCAGAAUAUAAGCGUGCGGGGGGAGGGGUUGAUGAGGGGCUCUGAGAACUGCUGAGGCUACAGGCCUUGACUCAAUCUGGAGAGGGAGCAGCUGGGUCACAAAUGUCCCCAAGGCCCUUUGUUCUUCCGUAUGUUUUAGUUUCCAAUAAUAAAUCAGGUGCGCCUGUGUGAGGGACAUGAUUCAGGUCACCAAGAGUCGCUUCUCCAGCUCCUAUGCAACCCCACUCUUCCCUACUCCCCUCCCUGGAAGGCACUCUGGGGACUGUCCCCAGCAGGAGUGACGGGCGCUGACUCACCCAUACUCUCUGUUCCAGUCGAUCAAAGUUCCAGAGUAGCAGGGAGCCUGUCCAAGCUCGCCUCUGCUGCUCCCUGCUGUUUCCAGAGCCAGGACUGAGCAAGAUGGUCAACUGAUGUUUGCUGAAUGAAUAAGUGACUCGUGAACCCUUUUCUGUGUCAUGAGAUAUUCUUCAAAAACCGUGUUUAUAUUGGCUACGAGUAAUCCAAAGUUCAGUUCUAGCUACAGCCCUGCCAUUUGGACAGCUUCUGACCACCACGAGAGAACUGACGUCACCAUGUGCCACUGAUGUCAUUCCAGAUCACCACAAAGGAAUGUGGAGUGUCAGUCAGCGCAAGUGACCUUGUUGGGAGUCACUACACCAUUCCAUGAGACUCUUAGAAGUUGCAAAAAUGCUCAGGAAUCCACAGACAAUCUCGGUCAACCUGGAGCCCUGGGGCUUCUGGAUUGUACAUCCUCACUCUUGCCAGGGGUGCUGGUGCCAGAGAGAUCACCAAGCCUUUGUCUCUCUCCCCUCUCACCACUGAAGGCCACUGCAGAGACCUCCAGACCAGGCUCAGUGCCAAGGUCACCUAGGACCACUUCUGUUGUGUUGCCUUGGUGUCUGGCCCCCCAAACACAUGGAGUACAGAAACUUGGUUGGGCACAGAAGCCUCACUGUGACUGUGCAAAGCCAGUUCUAAUGGCACAAUAUGCACCAUCACUGAUGCCAAGAAAUCCUGGAUGUGCCCCUUGGGGCACCCCCCUAAGGGCAGCCACGGCCUGCGCGUGGAGCACUCCUGGCUGCUAGCUGAAGGAGCUCAGGACCUCCAGCCCGUAAAGGACAUUUGGUGAACGCUUUUAGAUCCUAAUGACUUUACUGUGCUUCCAAAGUAUUAAAAACACGUCUGCGAAGUACCUUAAGACUCUUCAAAGGAUUCCCACGAGCAAUAUCUCCUUUAAGCCCAAUUUAGAAGGAAGAAAGAGCAGAUGUCAUGGAGGCCAAGAAAGAUAUUGUAACAAGUCUGAGGUCUACCAGCAAGCAACAUGGCGGGGAGCGGCCAGGAGUGGAGCCUCAUUACUCACACCACGCUUUAGCCAGAGGAUGCAGCUGGGGACUGUGUACUAGAGGUGGUUCAGAAGUUAGGAGCAGGGUGACCCCCUACAGUUGGGCAGGGCGCCCCCUCCGAAGGAGCUAAUCACAUCUUAAACAUUGUAGAUUUGUAUGUUUAUUCCAUUGCUCUGGACUGCAAUAAAGUAUCUAUUCUAAUAAAAUCAGUAUAUUAUAACACUU